GUGAGCUCUUCGACACCCCCCCCCCCCCCCCCCCCACACCCCUCCCUCCCUCGUCCCUUCCUUCCCCUCUUCUCCCCUCCCCCCCCCCCCCGGGACGAGCAGGAAGAGAAUUCACCCGAGAGCACAUAGUACACUUUGCACAGCGUGUACAGUCUCCACAAUCAGUCAGCAAGUCUCGCUAAAUAUCUUAAAAGGUGAGACGAUGAGUCAAAGUUUUACAAAGUUUUACAGCUGGACUGGAAGUGAUCACAUGACACAACCCAUCUUUGCAUAAUGUUUCUUAUCCAACUAUCUAACAUUCUGCGAAACACAUGACGCCGUGGUAGCCACCUGUCAAUCACAGCGUAGCCCCGCCCCUGAGCGUAGCCUCCUUCAGGAUUUCGGCACAGUCUGCACAGCCACAGUUGUCCCUCCGUCCUGCACAUCGCUGCGCUCUCAUUGGGACAGAAGGAGCUUCCUUCAGGUGAUGCGGCUCCGCAGGUGUGAGACAAGCGGCGCGGAGGAGGAGGCAGUGGGAC
Molecule: long non-coding RNA, 518 nt
Organism: Gasterosteus aculeatus aculeatus (three-spined stickleback)
Lineage: Eukaryota; Metazoa; Chordata; Actinopteri; Perciformes; Gasterosteidae
Source: Ensembl